This 254-nucleotide ribosomal RNA is filed under the name uncultured bacterium. RNAcentral's name for it is "partial 16S ribosomal RNA". It matches the Rfam family "Bacterial small subunit ribosomal RNA", at positions 524 to 776 of the family's 1533-position model. The record is from RNAcentral.
UACGGGGGGAGCAAGCGUUGUUCGGAUUUACUGGGCGUAAAGGGCGCGUAGGCGGCCAGCGCAAGUCAGUGGUGAAAUCUCCGGGCUUAACUCGGAACGGUCAACUGAUACUGCGCGGCUAGAGUGCAGAAGGGGCAACUGGAAUUCUCGGUGUAGCGGUGAAAUGCGUAGAUAUCGAGAGGAACACCUGCGGCGAAGGCGGGUUGCUGGGCUGACACUGACGCUGAUGCGCGAAAGCCAGGGGAGCGAACGGG